RNAcentral lists this ribosomal RNA (387 nucleotides) under Triticum aestivum (bread wheat). RNAcentral describes it as "partial small subunit ribosomal RNA". Lineage: Eukaryota; Viridiplantae; Streptophyta; Magnoliopsida; Poales; Poaceae. The record is from RNAcentral.
AUGGGUGGCAUGCCAUUUACCUACCUAGGGCUCCCCCUAGGCACCACCAGACCCAUGGUCCAAGACCUCAUGCCCCUUGUUUGCAGAGCCGAACGUCGUGUGACCGCCACCAUGUUGAUGUUAUCGUACGGCGCCAAACUAUCACUGCUCAAUUCAAUCGUCACCUCCUUGGACAUGUUUGCAAUGUGCACAAUCAAGAUCAACCCAAAAAUAAUAACCCAGCUCGAUAAAAUUAGAAGACACUGCCUUUGGAACAAGAAAACAAACAAUGGAGACCGUUGUAAUUCCCUGACAGCCUGGGAUCUAGUCUGCCGCCCCAAAAAGCACGGAGGACUCCGUGUCUUGGAUCUGCAAGUUCAGAAUGACGCCCUUCUGCUGAAAUUUUGA